This 895-nucleotide ribosomal RNA is filed under the name Streptomyces sp. NCCP-1303. Its description in RNAcentral is "bacterial SSU rRNA". It matches the Rfam family "Bacterial small subunit ribosomal RNA", at positions 76 to 984 of the family's 1533-position model. Lineage: Bacteria; Bacillati; Actinomycetota; Actinomycetes; Kitasatosporales; Streptomycetaceae. The record is from RNAcentral.
CACUUCGGUGGGGAUUAGUGGCGAACGGGUGAGUAACACGUGGGCAAUCUGCCCUGCACUCUGGGACAAGCCCUGGAAACGGGGUCUAAUACCGGAUACUGACCCGCCUGGGCAUCCAGGCGGUUCGAAAGCUCCGGCGGUGCAGGAUGAGCCCGCGGCCUAUCAGCUUGUUGGUGAGGUAACGGCUCACCAAGGCGACGACGGGUAGCCGGCCUGAGAGGGCGACCGGCCACACUGGGACUGAGACACGGCCCAGACUCCUACGGGAGGCAGCAGUGGGGAAUAUUGCACAAUGGGCGAAAGCCUGAUGCAGCGACGCCGCGUGAGGGAUGACGGCCUUCGGGUUGUAAACCUCUUUCAGCAGGGAAGAAGCGCAAGUGACGGUACCUGCAGAAGAAGCGCCGGCUAACUACGUGCCAGCAGCCGCGGUAAUACGUAGGGCGCGAGCGUUGUCCGGAAUUAUUGGGCGUAAAGAGCUCGUAGGCGGCUUGUCGCGUCGGUUGUGAAAGCCCGGGGCUUAACCCCGGGUCUGCAGUCGAUACGGGCAGGCUAGAGUUCGGUAGGGGAGAUCGGAAUUCCUGGUGUAGCGGUGAAAUGCGCAGAUAUCAGGAGGAACACCGGUGGCGAAGGCGGAUCUCUGGGCCGAUACUGACGCUGAGGAGCGAAAGCGUGGGGAGCGAACAGGAUUAGAUACCCUGGUAGUCCCACGCCGUAAACGGUGGGCACUAGGUGUGGGCGACAUUCCACGUCGUCCGUGCCGCAGCUAACGCAUUAAGUGCCCCGCCUGGGGAGUACGGCCGCAAGGCUAAAACUCAAGGAAUUGACGGGGGCCCGCACAAGCGGCGGAGCAUGUGGCUUAAUUCGACGCAACGCGAAGAACCUUACCAAGGCUUUG